Molecule: transfer RNA, 74 nt
Filed under: Clostridium botulinum
Lineage: Bacteria; Bacillati; Bacillota; Clostridia; Eubacteriales; Clostridiaceae
Description: tRNA-Trp
Rfam family: tRNA
About the family: Transfer RNA (tRNA) molecules are approximately 80 nucleotides in length. Their secondary structure includes four short double-helical elements and three loops (D, anti-codon, and T loops).
Source: RNAcentral
GCAGGGUUCGUCUAAUGGCAAGACGGUGGCUUCCAAACCCACUUAUGAGAGUUCGAUUCUUUCAUCCUGUGCCA